GACGAACGCUGGCGGCGUGCUUAACACAUGCAAGUCGAGCGGUAAGGCCCUUUCGGGGGUACACGAGCGGCGAACGGGUGAGUAACACGUGGGUGACCUGCCCUCAGCUCUGGGAUAAGCCUGGGAAACCGGGUCUAAUACCGGAUAUGACUCCAUGACGCAUGUUGUGGGGUGGAAAGCCUUGUGCGGCUGAGGAUGGGCCCGCGGCCUAUCAGCUUGUUGGUGGGGUGAUGGCCUACCAAGGCGACGACGGGUAGCCGGCCUGAGAGGGCGACCGGCCACACCGGGGACUGAGACAAGGCCCAGACUUCCAUGGAGGGCAGCAGUGAGGAAUAUUGGACAAUGGGUGUAAACUUGAUCCAGCAAUACCUAUUGAGUGAAGAAGGGAAUUCUAGU
Molecule: ribosomal RNA, 396 nt
Filed under: uncultured bacterium
Lineage: Bacteria
Description: bacterial SSU rRNA
Rfam family: Bacterial small subunit ribosomal RNA
Source: RNAcentral